RNAcentral lists this ribosomal RNA (460 nucleotides) under uncultured bacterium. Its description in RNAcentral is "partial 16S ribosomal RNA". It matches the Rfam family "Bacterial small subunit ribosomal RNA", at positions 338 to 795 of the family's 1533-position model. The record is from RNAcentral.
CCUACGGGAGGCAGCAGUGAGGAAUAUUGGUCAAUGGACGAGAGUCUGAACCAGCCAAGUAGCGUGAAGGAUGACUGCCCUAUGGGUUGUAAACUUCUUUUAUAUGGGAAUAAAACGUUCCACGUGUGGGAUUUUGUAUGUACCAUAUGAAUAAGGAUCGGCUAACUCCGUGCCAGCAGCCGCGGUACUACGGAGGAUCCGAGCGUUAUCCGGAUUUAUUGGGUUUAAAGGGAGCGUAGGUGGAUUGUUAAGUUAGUUGUGAGAGUUUGCGGCUCAACCGUAAAAUUGCAGUUGAAACUGGCAGUAUUGAGUACAGUAGAGGUAGGCGGAAUGCGUGGUGGAGCGGUGAAAUGAUUAGAGAUCACGAAGAACUCAGAUUGCGAAGGCAGCUCACUGAACUGCAACUGACACUGAGGCACGAAAGUGUGGGUAUCAAACAGGAUUAGAUACCCCUGUAGUC